CCACAUUGGGACUGAGACACGGCCCAAACUCCUACGGGAGGCAGCAGUGGGGAAUAUUGGACAAUGGGCGCAAGCCUGAUCCAGCAAUGCCGCGUGGGUGAAGAAGGUCUUCGGAUUGUAAAGCCCUUUCGACGGGGACGAUGAUGACGGUACCCGUAGAAGAAGCCCCGGCUAACUUCGUGCCAGCAGCCGCGGUAAUACGAAGGGGGCUAGCGUUGCUCGGAAUGACUGGGCGUAAAGGGCGCGUAGGCGGUUUGAACAGUUGGGCGUGAAAUUCCAGGGCUUAACCUUGGGACUGCGUUCAAUACGUUUAGACUUGAGUUCGGAAGAGGGUCGUGGAAUUCCCAGUGUAGAGGUGAAAUUCGUAGAUAUUGGGAAGAACACCGGUGGCGAAGGCGGCGACCUGGUCCGAAACUGACGCUGAGGCGCGAAAGCGUGGGGAGCAAACAGGAUUAGAUACCCUGGUAGUCCACGCUGUAAACGAUGUGCGCUGGAUGUUGGGUGACCUAGUCACUCAGUGUCGUAGCUAACGCGAUAAGCGCACCGCCUGGGGAGUACGGCCGCAA
Molecule: ribosomal RNA, 566 nt
Filed under: uncultured bacterium
Lineage: Bacteria
Description: bacterial SSU rRNA
Rfam family: Bacterial small subunit ribosomal RNA
Source: RNAcentral